RNAcentral lists this unclassified non-coding RNA (240 nucleotides) under soil metagenome. Its description in RNAcentral is "partial contains 5.8S ribosomal RNA, internal transcribed spacer 2, and large subunit ribosomal RNA". The record is from RNAcentral.
AACCAUUCUCACCUGCGGCUAGACCUGCGGAAGGAUCAUUACCGAGUGUGAACCCCCCCGUAAAAAAGAGGGGUUACCUCCCGUCCUUUGCUGGGAACCCCUUUCCAACUUGGAAGGAGGUUGUUUUCAGACCCUUCUGCUUCGGUGGGGUAACCCACCGGAACAACCUCAAAAAUAUUCUCAAUUCAAAACCGUUCAGUCCGAGAACUUUUUUGAAAAGCGAAAAAACUUUCAGCAACG